RNAcentral lists this ribosomal RNA (519 nucleotides) under uncultured eukaryote. RNAcentral describes it as "SSU rRNA". It matches the Rfam family "Eukaryotic small subunit ribosomal RNA", at positions 1161 to 1707 of the family's 1831-position model. The record is from RNAcentral.
AGGGCACCACCAGGAGUGGAGCCUGCGGCUUAAUUUGACUCAACACGGGAAAACUUACCUGGUCCUGACACUAGAAGGAUCGACAGAUUGAUAGCUCUUUCUUGAUUUGGUGGAUGGUGGUGCAUGGCCGUUCUUAGUUGGUGGAGUGAUUUGUCUGGUUAAUUCCGAUAACGAACGAGACUCUAGCCUAUUAAAUAACACACAGAAUCUUGUCUUCUGUGGCGUUUCUUAAUGGGAUCAAGUGUGUUUAACGCUUUGAAACAGAGCAAUAACAGGUCUGUGAUGCCCUUAGAUGUUCGGGGCCGCACGCGCGCUACAUUGAGAGACAAAAUGAGUUUUCUAGCCUUUAAUAAGGCUAGUAAUCUUUGAAUGUUUUUCUUAAUGGGGAUAGGGGAUUGCAAUUGUGCCCCUUGAACGAGGAAUUCCCAGUAAGUGCUAGUCAUUAGCUAGUACUGAUUACGUCCCUGCCCUUUGUACACACCGCCCGUCGCUACUACCGAUUGAAUGGUUUAGUGAGAU